AGAGUUUGAUCCUGGCUCAGAACGAACGCUGGCGGCGUGGAUUAGGCAUGCAAGUCGAACGCGAAAGUCACCUUCGGGUGGCGAGUAGAGUGGCGAACGGGUGAGUAACGCGUGAGGAACCUGCCCUCAGCAGGGGGACAACACUCCCAACGGAGUGCUAAUACCGCAUGAGACCACGGAGCUGCAUAGCCCCGAGGUCAAAGGUGGCCUCUGCUUGCAAGCUACCGGCUGAGGAUGACCUCGCGUCCCAUUAGCUAGUUGGCGGUGUAACGGACCACCAAGGCGACGAUGGGUAGCUGGUCUGAGAGGAUGGUCAGCCACACUGGGACUGAGAUACGGCCCAGACUCCUACGGGGGGCAGCAGUCGAGAGGCUUUGUCAAUGGGGGAAACCCUGAACAAGCGACGCCGCGUGAAGGAUGAAGGCCCUUGGGUUGUAAACUUCUUUUGCUGGGGAAGAAACGCGAUCAUGUGAAUAAUGUGGUCGCUUGACGGUACCCGGCGAAUAAGCUCCGGCUAACUCCGUGCCAGCAGCCGCGGUAACACGGGGGGAGCAAGCGUUGUUCGGAAUUACUGGGCGUAAAGGGCGUGUAGGCGGUUAGGUAAGUGGGACGUGAAAUCCCUCGGCUCACCCGAGGACCUGCGUCCCAAACUGCUUGACUUGAGUAUGGGAGAGGAUGAGGGAAUUCCUGGUGUAGCGGUGAAAUGCGUAGAUAUCAGGAGGAACACCGGUGGCGAAGGCGCUCAUCUGGCCCAAUACUGACGCUGAGGCGCGAAAGCUAGGGGAGCAAACGGGAUUAGAUACCCUGGUAGUCC
This 814-nucleotide ribosomal RNA is filed under the name uncultured bacterium. Its description in RNAcentral is "bacterial SSU rRNA". It matches the Rfam family "Bacterial small subunit ribosomal RNA", at positions 8 to 796 of the family's 1533-position model. The record is from RNAcentral.